Molecule: transfer RNA, 71 nt
Filed under: Loxodonta africana (African savanna elephant)
Lineage: Eukaryota; Metazoa; Chordata; Mammalia; Proboscidea; Elephantidae
Rfam family: tRNA
About the family: Transfer RNA (tRNA) molecules are approximately 80 nucleotides in length.
Source: Rfam by way of RNAcentral
GCAUUGGUCGUUCAGUGGUAGAAUUCCCAACUCCCAUGUGGUAGAGCUGGGUUUGAUUCCUGGCCAAUGCA